This 1979-nucleotide long non-coding RNA is filed under the name Jatropha curcas. RNAcentral describes it as "long non-coding RNA (JCUR_LNC001552)". Lineage: Eukaryota; Viridiplantae; Streptophyta; Magnoliopsida; Malpighiales; Euphorbiaceae. The record is from RNAcentral.
GUAAGCCCAUAAUGUGAUUAUAAUUUAUUGUGAAUAGGCCCCAGGUUAUAUAUUAUGUGUUAAUCGAGAUUGGGCCAUAUGUUUGUAUAGAGGCUUACUGUUUUGAUGAAAUUGAGACAGAUUGAAUAAUUUAGGCUUACUACGGGCCUCGGGGGCCUUAAGCUUACCUGGGCCCUAGUGCCGGUCCGGCCCACGGAAACGGGUCGUGACAAAGGUGGUAUCAGAGCGUAAGUUUAUAAGUUUAGAUGUAACUGCGGAGUAAUUCCUGUCAUGUCUUGACAUUGUCCUCCUUGCUUUUCCCUUCAGCGUUGUUCGCAACCAGACUAAAGUCAAGUUGUUUAAUGAUUAAAAUUUGCAUCCUUGUUCGUUAGAGAUGUGAUUUAGUUAAUGAUGCUAGGAGACGGUUUAAACAAAAAUCCUUCUAUGGAAUAAAUAAUAGUCAUAUAUAAUUUAAGUAUGUAAGAAGAUAAGUUGCAUAUGAAUAAUAAAUUGAAGUCAAAUACUGUAAGUGUACUAUUUUAUUUAAUAUGUGUUGAAUGUAGAAUACAUAUAAAAAAAAAAAAAGAUGCAUGAGUGCGUGUAUAUGUGUGCCUGCAGAAUUGAGAAUUAGUUGCUAGUUUUAUUUAAUAAGAGAACUAAACGAUUCGGAUUUGAGGACAUUAGAAUAUAUUUAAUUGGUGCCUUGAAUUAAUAUAUGUAUUUGGUGACAUUUACAUGAUGUUGGUUGGUGGAAUUUAUUAUAGUUAUUGGGGUAAAUAUUUUCUGGAUGGAAUAAUUACAUUAAUUAGUAUAAGUACAUAACUGAUUUUUUAUAAGAUUUAAAUAUUGAAGGAUUUGGUGUGAUUUGCUAUAAUAAUUGGAGAUGAGUAUUUUUCAUAAAGAAUAAUAUUGGUGGAAUUAUUAUACCAAGUGAUUUUUAAUUAUGAGAAGUAAUUACUGCUUGGUGGAGUAAAGUGUAUUGUAGCAUUCAUCAACUAUUCCUUUUCAAGUGUAUGAAUAUAGGGAAUCAUAUAAAUUAUUGUGGUUAUAAGAAACGUAAAUUGUGAUCCGUAGUAAGAGACAAAUUACUCUACUCUGUAUGCAUUUAGUAAUGGAUAUUGUGUGGAUUGUGGCAUCUUAUGGUUUAAUAUGGUACAAGUAAGAAUUAAAUCUAAUGGUAUUUAGCUUUUGAUAUUUAAAAUAAUUGUUGCACACUCGAUGGUAUGUGAAUUACAAUCAAUGAUUUUGUUUAAUGGGAGAUUCUAUGAUCUGAGGACUCCAUAAGGGAAUUAAGGUACUUACGUUAUGUAAAUAUUGGGCUAUGAUGAUUAAGAGCAUUGGUGAAUGACAUCGGAUAUGGAGAGAUAAUUGUCCAAUUAUUUAAUUGAUAUAAUACUAGUAAAUUAGAUAAGUAAGGAUGGAUCUAGUCCUGUUAUUGUAUGGAUAUUAAGAAAAGAAUCAAUUGUAGAAACGUGAAGAGUAUGAAUUAAUGUGAGUUAAAUGAGGAUAGUCAGUAAUUAGAGGUUUAAUAAAUUAGGGAUUAUGGGUAACAAGAUUCGAUGAAAAUAAAAAUAAUGAUACAUCAGCGGAUUUAAGAUAAAGACCUCUAUAUUUUGGGAUUUCAUGAGUGUAGAAAAAUUGUGGUUUACAGUCAUGAAAGAGUUAUGGAUCCAUGUGUGAUAUAAUUAAGAUCUUAGUACAUGUAGAAUGUUUAAUAAGCCAGACUAAGCUUAUGGACCAAGUAUAAUAAAAUAAAAGUAAAAGAUAGCAAAGGAAAUUAGUGGUUUUGGGAUUGAAAUGCUAUUAUAUUCGAUGAUAAUUAUAUUAGGAAAAUUAUAGCUUGAAUAUAAUUUGAAUAUAAAGAACAGAGGAGAAUAAUGUUUGUAUAAUUAAACAGUUUCUUGUUAUCUCUUGGAGUAUAGAGAGAAUGUGAAUGUUAAGAAAUUAAAUGAUCAUGAAUAGUAAUUUUAUGAUGUAAUUAAAUUAAGAUCUAAAAAANN